This is a long non-coding RNA of Medicago truncatula (barrel medic), 623 nucleotides long. RefSeq lists it as uncharacterized. The record is from RefSeq and is a predicted model, not a curated record. The transcript has 2 exons. NCBI's taxonomy places the organism in Eukaryota, Viridiplantae, Streptophyta, Magnoliopsida, Fabales, Fabaceae.
CAACAAAAUUAAAUGUAACCUAAUACAAGAAACACAUAGAAACGCUUUAGAAACAUCCUUUAGUUUAUCAUUUCAAACAAGUUAUUAUUAUUAUUAGUAGUAGUAUUCAUUCAUGGGUAGACCACAGAACUAGAAGUAAUGUUGGAAUGGGAGGAAUUGGUAAAGCCACUUUGGCAACAAAGCUAUGUUAGGAUGAUUGAACAAGUUAUGGGUAAAUUCAGGGAAAAAUUUUUGUCUCCUUUUCAUAAACGCAACAGUUGAAGAUUAUUGUAGAGAGACUAUUUGAACAUUGUGGAUAUCGAGUUCCUAUAUGUUUCCAAGUAAUGAAGAUGCAGUUAAUAGAUUUGGACUUUUUCUGAAGAAAAUUGAGGGAAGUACAAUAUUGAUGGCCAUUUGCAAAGGAGGUUGAGGAUUUGGCUUUGGCUUCUGAUGUUGUGAGGAGGUUAGAGUUUGAUUUUGGUGGUAGGUCUCGGUUGGGUGGUGACUUUAUUGGUGUUUUUAAUAUCCGAGAUGUAUGAGUUUUUUUUUUUUGUUUUUUUUGUUCCGCCUAUAUACGACAUCCUUAUUUGUUGUUUUCUUUGGGAUCAGAGUGCGCAAUGAGGAAUAUGUGGAAGCUUAAAUUA